UAAAACCACGAAUAUCUUACU
Molecule: non-coding RNA, 21 nt
Filed under: Arabidopsis thaliana (thale cress)
Lineage: Eukaryota; Viridiplantae; Streptophyta; Magnoliopsida; Brassicales; Brassicaceae
Source: RNAcentral